This 253-nucleotide ribosomal RNA is filed under the name uncultured bacterium. Its description in RNAcentral is "partial 16S ribosomal RNA". It matches the Rfam family "Bacterial small subunit ribosomal RNA", at positions 524 to 776 of the family's 1533-position model. The record is from RNAcentral.
GACGAACCGAGCGAACGUUGUUCGGAAUCACUGGGCUUAAAGGGCGCGUAGGCGGGUGAUCAAGUCCGAGGUGAAAUCCUCCAGCUCAACUGGAGAACUGCCUCGGAUACUGGUUGCCUUGAGGAAGGUAGGGGUGUGUUGAACGUUCAGUGGAGCGGUGAAAUGCAUUGAUAUUGAACGGAACUCCGGUGGCGAAGGCGACACACUGGACCUUUUCUGACGCUGAGGCGCGAAAGCUUUGGGAGCAAACGGG